This is a long non-coding RNA of Astatotilapia calliptera (eastern happy), 2302 nucleotides long. Lineage: Eukaryota; Metazoa; Chordata; Actinopteri; Cichliformes; Cichlidae. The record is from Ensembl.
AUCAUCUCAGUCAGCAGCUGCACCUCUGCAGCCUUUUCUUUGGUACUGUACACUAACAAGCAUGUUGUAACUGUGGAGGAGCCAAAAUAGGAGAAACAUUAGGAAUUUUUCAGAAAGUGUUAAAUUUUUUGGUUCCAUGUUACACAAAAGGAACGAGUGCAAACAGAUGUAAUGGAGUUUUUACUUAUUGUAAAGACUACAAAUAGAUUUUCCACCACUGCUUUAAUAGCCACAACAUUUAGUGCCAUCUUGUGGUUAAAACACAUCAAAUCAGCCAAAUCAUAUGAACAACAAAAUUUCCAACACAUAUAAUACUUUAUUCAGUUGUUGUAGUGAUGGUGUAUUAUUAUGUAUCUGUUGUGUUAUAAACCCACAGCCCCUGUAAACAGUGUGUACUAAACUGACACCAUACUACAGACUGAAGGGCGAGCAUAACCAUAAAAGAUUUUGAAAACUAAAUAUAAGGAAGAGAAAAUGUGAUUGCUACAGGCAAAAAAAACAGAUAUGAAAAAAACAACAAAGAGACAAAACAAAAUCAUAAAAGCACAAAAAUAAUUCAGUCAAUCACUUUUCAGUUGAAAACGUCCCUAAAUAUAUUUGACUGAUGGGUUUUCCUGAUGAGGCCACAUGUCUGUGCCCAGGCGCCAAUUACCUGAUUGUCACUGUUAGUAUGUAUUGAUGCCAAACCUAACCUGGAUGAAGAAGCCAUUAUGUUAAGGUUACAUUUUCAGCCUCUAGCAGUAGGAUCGUGUUUAGCUGUUUUUGUGGGUUUUACAAAAGCUGCUGCCACAAUUGUGAGACGAGGACAUACAUGAAGAUGUCAGAUCCACGAAGUAACAACAGGUCAUUUUGCGUGCAGUGAAGUGAUUUGAUAGUUAAUGUUAGGAGCGCCUAUAAAUGCAGUGCUUGGGUAAAAGUACCCGAUUACUUACCGAGGAGAUCAAGAAGAAGCUGCAGGUGUUAUUUUUGUCCAGCAGGUGGAGAACUCUGAUCACCUGUUGCUGAUUGUAACGUGAAAGCGAACAGCGCUGGAUUCACGGAUAUCGACGCUCUGUAUUUCCAGCUGAAUCUGAAGUGAAUACACUCAGUUUUCCUUUUACUGUAAUAAUAUAAAUCUUAUAUCGGAAGAGCCCUCCGCUACUUUUUAUGCCAUAUUAUCACAAGCAUGAAGGCGUACAUAUUAAGAGGUUGUUUCUUAUCUUUCUUUCCCAGUUCAGAGGAUUACAGCUUAUCCACAAAGUACCUCCCAGUACUUUAUAUUUUUAGGUCGACCAUACUGCGAAACCUUCCCUGCGGACUUCCACCUGAAACCCCCCAACCGUUGCUCAGUCAGCAGGGUGCCGGGCCUGAGGACUGUGUGUGAGGCAUCCACCUCUCUCUGUGCACGUCAGAGACGGCUGUAGCGCAUGAAGGUGUGUGUGAGCACACAUCUACGAGCCGGGGGACACCCCGACCCUUCAAUCAAGUAUUAGCUGUCAAUAUUUGGACCUCCUUCCUGCUCCCCCCGCUCAUUAGGUGGUGGUGGUGUGAUUUCAUGCUUCUCACCAGGAGGCCUUCGCAAAGUCUCAGUCUGCUGUACAGACGGAUAAAGUGCUAAUUUGUGUGAUAUGAAAUGUUGACACUGUUAUAGUGUUAUAUGUUACAAGGAGGGACAAUAUGAGUGUGGUCAAUAACAUGACAGAUGAAGGAUAUGAAAGGUGCAAAGGCAGAGGUUGUGUGGUGGGCUCUAAACCUCAUUGAUUUACUAUAUUAAUUCAGAAAGAUAAGCACAGACAGUAGAGACAGCCAGUUUCAAGAAGAACUGUCGGUUCACAUUAUCUAUCUAUCUAUGUAUGUAUGAUUAUUUAGAGAAACCAGAACAUUGUUACCACCUUAUUUGCAAGUUAUAGUUCUUUAAAAGAAGGAAAACAUGGCUAUGUAAGAGACUAAAACAGUGAUACAGUUGAGAAAUGCAGCAGUCAUCUGCAGUGUAAUAAAACUGUGGCCCUUCUCUCAUCAUUGGGCAUUCAGUCUGCUCUUUAUAUGUCACAGGAUAAUGAAAUCCCCUCCUGGUAAAUCUGUUCUGACCUUUUUUCCCCCACUCACCUAGUAUCCAUAUGAUUAUCUGUUCUUUUCUUCACCAGCCCGCUGAUGUUUUUCACCAGUCUGUAGUAAACUUGAGCCCCACGUUCAAGUGGCUGCCUCCUUUGUUUUUUGGCAUUCAAGCUUUUCAGUGGAACACAGCAUCAGGAAAUUCUGUCCAGGUUUCAGACUGUGGACGUGGUCAUUAGAUAUAUGGUGUGUGAAACAGAACAAGAACACU